UACGGAGGGUGCAAGCGUUAAUCGGAAUUACUGGGCGUAAAGCGUGCGCAGGCGGUUUGUUAAGACCGAUGUGAAAUCCCCGGGCUUAACCUGGGAACUGCAUUGGUGACUGGCAGGCUUUGAGUGUGGCAGAGGGAGGUAGAAUUCCACGUGUAGCAGUGAAAUGCGUAGAGAUGUGGAGGAAUACCGAUGGCGAAGGCAGCCUCCUGGGCCAACACUGACGCUCAUGCACGAAAGCGUGGGGAGCAAACAGG
Molecule: ribosomal RNA, 254 nt
Filed under: uncultured bacterium
Lineage: Bacteria
Description: partial 16S ribosomal RNA
Rfam family: Bacterial small subunit ribosomal RNA
Source: RNAcentral